GAGACAAAUGUUAAAAAACAACAACAGAAAACCGUCAAUCGGUAAAUGAAGAAGUAGCACUACGUCUGAUGAGAGACGGAGAGAAAGAUUGAGAAGAUUUAAAAUACGGACGACUUCGAAAUCAUAAUAGAUACUUGGAACUACGGACACUUGGAUACUUAAAGACUAACAUUGGAAAACAAUAUAAAGAUCCUCUUUCCCCCGCACAAAGCUUUGAUGAUCACCCUUUGAAAAUAAAUGAAGAAAGAAGACGCUUCCCUUGUAUUUUGUACAUGGUACUGGAAUCCUGACUGGUUUUUGUUGUACCCCGAACAAAUCCCGUUGCCUUGCCCUGGAACUCUUGGAUACCUUCUGGAUUUCCCUCAUCGUCCUGGAUUUGGAUUCACCGUCGUCACCAUCUACAUCAACCUGCCCCUUCCUUUUGGACUGCCUGUUAGGCUACACAUCCCCUUACCCUUGUGAUUGUGGUAGGAUCUGGACAUUGCACUUUGCACAAGUUGGACUGAACCAUUUCCCCUUUUCAUUUAUUUUCUUUUCUUUAUUAUUUUCUUGAGUGCACUCACAUUUUGUUUUGGGUUGGGUUUUUGGGUUUUUAUUUUGUUUAAUUUAUAGUAUAUAAUAAUAUUGGAUAAUAAAUAUAAGACAAGAUAUUAGGUAAUAUAGUAUAAGGUUAGGAUAAUAUAUUAAUAGUAUUUAAAAAGGAAAAUACAAUUAGACUUAGAUAUUAAAUAGAACAAAAAUCUAAAGUAGUACAUGGAUAUAUAAAUACAAUAAAUAGAAUAUUAGAAUAGAACAUAUAAAAUAGUAUAAUAGAAUAGUAAACAGAUAUAACAUAAUACAUCUCUUUUAAUAUUGAUAUUGAAAUAACUUAAACUGAAUUGAAUGACUUUGACCUGUGAAAUAAACUAUAUAUUUUUAUUAUAAACUUUAUCCACGAGUGCGUGUGUUGUCUUUGGGGUGAGUACUAGAAUCUGGUCUAGUAAAAACCUACACCAAUAUCCACUGAACCUAGAUAUUAGACUAUAUAUUGUCCCUGCAAAAGUAUAGGCCAUUACCCUGUCGUGCAGGUUACACCCACAUUAGCCAAUGAAAGAAAAUACACGAAAAAACAAGCAAAUCAGAAAAAGCCCUGUGUGACGCCACAGGGAAAAUUGGUAAAAGUAUUUUGGGACAUACUAUAGAAGUACUAAUAACGUAAGUUAUGUCCAUAACUAUGGAUCUAUGAGACCGACCGAUGACCGUCUCCACGGUCUUAC
Alosa sapidissima (American shad) is the source of this 1256-nucleotide long non-coding RNA. RefSeq lists it as uncharacterized. The record is from RefSeq and is a predicted model, not a curated record. The transcript is spliced from 3 exons. NCBI's taxonomy places the organism in Eukaryota, Metazoa, Chordata, Actinopteri, Clupeiformes, Clupeidae.